Long non-coding RNA from Struthio camelus australis, 550 nucleotides. RefSeq lists it as uncharacterized. Lineage: Eukaryota; Metazoa; Chordata; Aves; Struthioniformes; Struthionidae. The record is from RefSeq and is a predicted model, not a curated record.
UGCUGCCUGGUGCAUAGAGUCUGGAUCUCGUAAGGGACUGUUAGCCCCAGAAGAGAAGAAAACCCAGCACUCCCCUAAUCUUCGGAAUUACCAUAACAUUAUGAGGCUAUUAAACAAAGCUGCCUAACCUUACACUCAUCCAUCAACCUUGAAUUAUUAAGAGAAUAACUGCAGAGCAUUUACAAGUGGAUGGGAUGGAGUCCUGGCUGCUUUUCAAGAACACAGAGUCAGUGCUACAAAAACUUUGCAAGAUGGUAAUUUUUCUUGUGCUGGCUGUUCCUUACUCUGGGCCUGAAAGAAAGAAUGGUUUCUUGAAUUUAAGUGGCAGUGGGAGCAACGCUGAGAACAUAAUGACAGGAUGAUCCAUGGUGUUUUCUGAGGAUGCAGUACCCACCUUGCUAUUUGUCAUUAGCUGGUGCAGUCCAUCCUCAAACAGCUGGUUCCUACAGGUCACCAUCAGAGCUAUAAACUCGCAGUGACUUAUUGUCACUAUCAAAGCUUCUUGCUUUGUGGUCUAGGAUGCAAAAAUGGGAGAAUUCCAGAACUGCAG